GGUACGGUGCGCCUGGCCCGUACGGCUCUGUCGUACGCGUGUCGGUGUGCGUCUGCCAUCCUUCCAGUAAACAGUCUUACAUGAAAGUGUCGGGCUGCGAUCUGGAUCUUUUACUUUGAAAAAAUUAGAGUGUUUAAAGCAAGCUUGUGCGUUGAAUACAUUAGCAUGGAAUAAUAAUUUAGGACUUUAUUCCUAUUUUAUUGGUUUCUAGGGAUGAAGUA
This 221-nucleotide ribosomal RNA is filed under the name uncultured fungus. Its description in RNAcentral is "partial small subunit ribosomal RNA". The stretch from base 95 to 221 matches the Rfam family "Eukaryotic small subunit ribosomal RNA", at positions 736 to 864 of the family's 1831-position model. The record is from RNAcentral. Lineage: Eukaryota; Fungi.